RNAcentral lists this ribosomal RNA (449 nucleotides) under uncultured bacterium. RNAcentral's name for it is "bacterial SSU rRNA". It matches the Rfam family "Bacterial small subunit ribosomal RNA", at positions 355 to 796 of the family's 1533-position model. The record is from RNAcentral.
UGGGGAAUUUUGGACAAUGGGGGCAACCCUGAUCCAGCAAUGCCGCGUGUGCGAAGAAGGCCUUCGGGUUGUAAAGCACUUUUGUCUAGGAAGAAAGGGCUUUGGUGAAUAACUAGAGUAGAUGACGGUACUGGACGAAUAAGCACCGGCUAACUACGUGCCAGCAGCCGCGGUAAUACGUAGGGUGCGAGCGUUAAUCGGAAUGACUGGGCGUAAAGGGUAUGUAGGCGGUUGAUUAAGAUUUGUGUGAAAUGCCUGGGCUUAACCUGGGAAUGGCAUAGGUGACUGAUUAACUAGAGUAUGAGAGAGGGGGGUGGAAUUCCACGUGUAGCAGUGAAAUGCGUAGAGAUGUGGAGGAACACCAAUGGCGAAGGCAGCCCCCUGGAGCGAUACUGACGCUGAGGUACGAAAGCGUGGGGAGCAAACAGGAUUAGAUACCCCUGUAGUCC